UUUAUCCCAACUAAAUUUAAAUUCACAUGUAGCAGUUGGAAAAUGGACAUGUUCUAAAAGGCAUCAUGGCAAUAAGGAAACCAAGAAGAUGUUCUCUCUUCAUUUUUGUUUCCUCUACAUUAUUCUUCUUACCCAAGAGAACACUAAGGCUGCUGAGGUCUUUGAUAGGUGACAGCAACCAGGGUUUAAACACUGGGUUCUAGGAACAUCAUUUUGUUUUACAGUGCUGUUACUAUAGGAGUCACAUCUGCUUCUGCAUUUUUGAGACAAGAGAGAUUUGGGUGGAUUACUUCAAUUUUGCAGGUACUAAAAGUGCUACACCCAUUGUAAUGGAAGAAGAUGCAGUGGCUGCUGAAUGACUCCGAACCCCAAGGCCUUUGAGGGAGAGCCCUCUCACAGGGGUCUGGCAGGCCAACCUCAUCCUGAUACCUGGAAAGGAAGGCCUUCCUGUGUACCACUGCCAUCCCAUCUUCCACCUCCAAGACACACACUGCAGACUGAUUUAAGUAAUUCUGUUUGUACUCCCU
This 527-nucleotide long non-coding RNA is filed under the name Homo sapiens (human). Its description in RNAcentral is "HSALNT0302390". Lineage: Eukaryota; Metazoa; Chordata; Mammalia; Primates; Hominidae. The record is from RNAcentral.